This 87-nucleotide non-coding RNA is filed under the name Pseudomonas baetica. The record is from RNAcentral. Lineage: Bacteria; Pseudomonadati; Pseudomonadota; Gammaproteobacteria; Pseudomonadales; Pseudomonadaceae.
GUGGGAGGGGGCUUGCUCCCGAAGACGGAGGGUCAGCAAGUCCAUUUUUGGCUGGCACACCGCCUUCGGGAGCAAGCCCCCUCCCAC